CAAGAGCGUAUGUAAAAGUUGUUGCAGUUAAAAGGCUCGUAGUUGAACCUUGGGUUUGGUUGGCCGGUCCGCUUUUUUGCGAGUACUGGAUUCAACCGAGCCUUUCCUUCUGGCUAACCAGUCGUUUCGGCGGCUGGCGAACCAGGAUUUUUACUUUGAGAAAAUUAGAGUGUUCAAAGCAGGCAUUAGCUUGAAUAUAUUAGCAUGGAAUAAUAGAAUAGGACGUUAUGGUUCUAUUUUGUUGGUUUCUAGGACCAUCGUAAUGAUUAAUAGGGACGGUCGGGGGCAUCAGUAUUCAGUUGUCAGAGGUGAAAUUCUUGGAUUUACUGAAGACUAACUACUGCGAAAGCAUUUGCCAAGGACGUUUUCAUUAA
RNAcentral lists this ribosomal RNA (374 nucleotides) under uncultured eukaryote. RNAcentral describes it as "partial 18S ribosomal RNA". It matches the Rfam family "Eukaryotic small subunit ribosomal RNA", at positions 592 to 976 of the family's 1831-position model. The record is from RNAcentral.